Etheostoma cragini (Arkansas darter) is the source of this 178-nucleotide long non-coding RNA. RefSeq lists it as uncharacterized. The record is from RefSeq and is a predicted model, not a curated record. The transcript has 2 exons. NCBI's taxonomy places the organism in Eukaryota, Metazoa, Chordata, Actinopteri, Perciformes, Percidae.
AGUUCUUCGUUGCCGUGGAGAGGGAGGAGUGGAAGUUUGACACUCUGUGUGAUCUGUACGACACGCUGACCAUCACGCAGGCCGUCAUCUUCUGCAACACCAAGAGAAAGGUGGACUGGCUGACGGAGAAGAUGCGCGAGGCCAACUUCACGGUGUCCUCGAUGCACGGAGACAUGCC